UUUGAACCUGCGAGAGCAGCACUGAUGCCAUUUUUGGCUGUGGGUUACGCGGCUAGGUGGACGUCCUGUUGGAAAGAUCAUUGAAGCGACGAACGGAGCACAGGAAACAACCUUUAGCGAGACGGUUCUAGCUAGAGCGGAAGACUAGGACUAUACGAAGGACUACUUGAACUACGGAACAUGUUCCCAGAAUGCGCCCCUCUCUUUAUGAUGGGUUUGCGACUGACUUGAAUGGUAUCACUGGAGCCUUCCAACUGGAGCCGAAGAUGUUGAGAGACUUGGAAAAGACGUCGUUAUAGAUGAGACCAGUGUAGAUGCUGAAGAGACCCAUCAACAAGAUGAUGU
Ornithodoros turicata is the source of this 345-nucleotide long non-coding RNA. RefSeq lists it as uncharacterized. NCBI's taxonomy places the organism in Eukaryota, Metazoa, Arthropoda, Arachnida, Ixodida, Argasidae. The transcript has 3 exons. The record is from RefSeq and is a predicted model, not a curated record.